This 465-nucleotide ribosomal RNA is filed under the name uncultured bacterium. RNAcentral describes it as "partial 16S ribosomal RNA". It matches the Rfam family "Bacterial small subunit ribosomal RNA", at positions 28 to 507 of the family's 1533-position model. The record is from RNAcentral.
GACGAACGCUGGCGGCGUGCUUAACACAUGCGAGUCGAACGGAAAGGCCCCCUUGUGGGGUACUCGAGUGGCGAACGGGUGAGUAACACGUGAGUAACCUACCCUUGACUUUGGGAUAACUUCAGGAAACUGGGGCUAAUACCGGAUAGGAGCUCCUGCUGCAUGGUGGGGGUUGGAAAGUUUCGGCGGUUGGGGAUGGACUCGCGGCUUAUCAGCUUGUUGGUGGGGUAGUGGCUCACCAAGGUUUUGACGGGUAGCCGGCCUGAGAGGGUGACCGGCCACAUUGGGACUGAGAUACGGCCCAGACUCCUACGGGAGGCAGCAGUGGGGAAUAUUGCACAAUGGGCGGAAGCCUGAUGCAGCAACGCCGCGUGCGGGAUGACGGCCUUCGGGUUGUAAACCGCUUUCGCCUGUGACGAAGCGUGAGUGACGGUAAUGGGUAAAGAAGCACCGGCUAACUACGUG